This is a small nuclear RNA of Callipepla squamata (scaled quail), 128 nucleotides long. Lineage: Eukaryota; Metazoa; Chordata; Aves; Galliformes; Odontophoridae. The record is from Rfam.
GUGUUGUGUGGAAGGAGAGAUGGUUAGUGCUCCCCUUGAUAAGGAUGGAAGGAGGCCUUGCUGUCCUGCACAGCACACACAGUGGUUAAGGCACUGCUACUUAUUUCAUGGCAUCUAAACACGUUUUG